This 253-nucleotide ribosomal RNA is filed under the name uncultured bacterium. Its description in RNAcentral is "partial 16S ribosomal RNA". It matches the Rfam family "Bacterial small subunit ribosomal RNA", at positions 524 to 776 of the family's 1533-position model. The record is from RNAcentral.
UACGUAGGGUGCGAGCGUUAAUCGGAAUUACUGGGCGUAAAGCGCACGUAGGUGGCGACGUAAGUCGGGUGUGAAAGCCCCGGGCUCAACCUGGGAAUUGCAUUCGAGACUGCAUUGCUGGAGUACGGAAGAGGAAGGCGGAAUUCCCGGUGUAGCGGUGAAAUGCGUAGAUAUCGGGAGGAACAUCAGUGGCGAAGGCGGCCUUCUGGUCCAGUACUGACACUCAAGUGCGAAAGCGUGGGGAGCAAACAGG